UACGUAGGGUGCAAGCGUUAUCCGGAAUCAUUGGGCGUAAAGAGCUCGUAGGCGGUUCAGCAAGUCGGCUGUGAAAGUCCGAGGCUUAACCUCGGAAUUGCAGUCGAUACUGUUGUGACUCGAGUCCGGUAGAGGAGGAUGGUAUUCCCGGUGUAGCGGUGAAGGGCGCAGAUAUCGGGAGGAACACCAGUAGCGAAGGCGGUUCUCUGGGCCGGCACUGACGCUGAGGAGCGAAAGCGUGGGGAGCGAACAGG
RNAcentral lists this unclassified non-coding RNA (254 nucleotides) under uncultured Acidimicrobiia bacterium. RNAcentral's name for it is "contains 16S-23S intergenic spacer region". It matches the Rfam family "Bacterial small subunit ribosomal RNA", at positions 524 to 776 of the family's 1533-position model. The record is from RNAcentral. Lineage: Bacteria; Bacillati; Actinomycetota; Acidimicrobiia.